This is a long non-coding RNA of Epinephelus moara (kelp grouper), 2403 nucleotides long. RefSeq lists it as uncharacterized. The transcript is spliced from 7 exons. The record is from RefSeq and is a predicted model, not a curated record. Lineage: Eukaryota; Metazoa; Chordata; Actinopteri; Perciformes; Serranidae.
CGAGAGAAGAGUCUACAAGUUGUCAGCUGAAGCAGGUGGUGGCUGGCAUAACAGAUCAUCAGAUGUCACACUAUGAUCCCGUCCUGCUGGCUGUCCCAUUUAUACAGACAUCGUUUCGGUGCUGUUACUGCCUCUGAUGCUGCCUUAAAGCCCCUCCCAGCGAAGAUGUGAGAGAUGCAAGAAAGUCUCUUCUCUCCUUGUCUCCUCAAAUUGCAUUAAAAGGGUUGGAAAGUUCUCCAUGAUUUUGGAGGGUGAACAAUUUCACAGGAGGAGGGAGGAUGCGAGGAAACGCAAGUUGCCAGAGUAUAACUUUGCCGUUGCUGCGAGGCUGCUGUGCUGGAGGCCGAUGGAGACCUUCCAGAGCCUGAGCUGCUGAGAGGAAACACCGACUGUUGGUGCCUUUGCUCAAAUUGGCCUCCAAUGCCAACAGAAACAGAAUCAUUCUGCAGCAAUAAAUUUCAGUGUGAUGGGUGCUGGAGACCUUCAGGAUCCCGCAGAUAGACUGAAGAAGAUGACCAAGACCAGCAGGAUGGAGAGGGCAGGUCACCACUGAGUACUUUUUCACCUACCCUUUUGGGAUUAUGGCAUGCUGUGGGGUGCCACAGGCUGGAGUUGAACCCGGACCUCCCGCGUCAUCAUCUUUGGAUGCUUGAAGUUGCCUCUGUAGUCACCCCUGUGUUGAGGUCAGAGGGCGAGCCGAUGUCAGGUCGUUGGAACCAAGGAAAGUGGAGAUGAUGCCGUUCUGGUCCACCUUCCUGAUUGUGGUGCCAUCAACAAAAUAAAUCAGGCCAUUCUUGCCCACGGCGAUGCCUGUUGACAUCAGGUGAGAGAGGGAGGGGAAAAGGAGAAAAGAAGAGAAAGGAAAAAAAAACUUGUGAUAACAGCAAAACAUGGUAGAUAUGCGGCAUCUCUGCUUGCAUGACUCAGUGGACGGAACACGAUGGAUACAUGUGUCAAGCUUGCCUUCCCAUUAUUCAGGUCACUGCAAAAAGCACAGCCAUCAAUAAUUCACGGGUUGCUUUUCUGGUAUUAAAUAAUUUCUCAGGCAGAAGUGGGAAAGGCUGUAUUCAUACGGUACAUAUGCACUCGCCGCGUCUUGUAACCCUCCCCUCUAAAAAAAGGACCUCAUGAGGUGGGGAUGUCAAUGAGUGGUGCGUUUUGGAGGUUUUUUGACAUCGGCAAUCAUCAACAAUCUGCACACCAUUUGAGAAAUGAAUGAGCGAGGGAGCGGAAAUGACAGCUUCGGCCAAUUUUAGAUGAAAGGGGUGAAAGACAGGCAGUUGCCAUGGUGACAACUGUGGACUAAAUUGUCUCAAUGAUUGAGUGUCAGCUCAGAGUUUUAAGUCGCAGCCGAGCCAGUGUGGCAUUGCUUUAACCAUUUGUCCCAAACUGGGAAAAUACAUCAACGGGCCACGCCAGCCUCCACAUCACUCUGCGUCGCCGUGCUGCUUAAUAGAGACCAGCACCUAUGGGACUUCAAUCAUAACUCACAUGCAGGGAGACUAUUUUUUCAUUCCCCAUGUUGGUUUUAACACCAUGUGGUUUUGGGUUUGAUUCUACGGAGUGAGAGCGGCUAAUCUCAGGAGCAUAUUUGUAGAGUGAAACAUUCUUUAGUUUCUGGAGGGUUUUAAAAUGUUUUGAAUAAACUUUAACUUCAGUUUUACCCCCAGAGCAUGAUUUCUUUUUCAAUGAAGUCUUUAAAAGCUUCUAUGGAAGGUGAGUGGUUUGGUUUGACCUGUGGCUAGGUCUGCGCAAGAUUGCUUUCUGCUAAAACAUUUACGAGUUGAGGGAGCCCACGGUGAAUCCUUGGGAGCUGGCGAUUUGACAGUCUGAGAUUCUCAGACAGAUGAAAAGUGUCACAUUUGAGCAGAGUUCACCAAAUGUCUGAGAGCAGAAAAAAAAAUGGAGCCAUCUGCUGUUUCUUCUCUGGUCCCGGCUUCCACCCACUCCAUCAUUAGAGUCGCUGCCUCAGAUUGCCUUCACUCAAGCCUUUAUCACCCAGCUGAAGCUGAGCUAUUGCAGUUGGCAUUCAGAGCGGGCAACAACUAGCGCAAAACAAUUCAUCUCAGCCUUUUCAUCCAGAAGAAUUUAUGGAAAAGUGAGCAAUCCAACCACAAAUGGCACAAAUGGCCAUGUGCUAUUUGAAUGUGGACAACACGUUGUGCAUAGCGGGUAUAACUUGUGGAUGGCUGUCACUUGAAUCUUUAAAGGACUGGAGACUUUACUUUCACAAGAGCUGUUUGAGAAAAGCAUCUCGAAGGAUCAACUCGCAAUUUUAAAGGAUAUUUACAGGAAUAUCCAAUUAUGCUGAAUAAAUUAUGCAUUAUUUUUCUGGAGGUUAAAACAACAAUAACUUUCUGAUAGGCAGCAGCAGUAAAAGCCUUAAAAAGACAGUUCACCCCA